Molecule: ribosomal RNA, 407 nt
Filed under: uncultured bacterium
Lineage: Bacteria
Description: bacterial SSU rRNA
Rfam family: Bacterial small subunit ribosomal RNA
Source: RNAcentral
UGGGGAAUAUUGCGCAAUGGGGGGAACCCUGACGCAGCGACGCCGCGUGAAGGAAGAAGGCCUUCGGGUUGUAAACUUCUUUGGUGAGGGAAGAAGGAAGUGACGGUACCUCAGGAACAAGCCACGGCUAACUACGUGCCAGCAGCCGCGGUAAUACGUAGGUGGCGAGCGUUGUCCGGAAUUACUGGGUGUAAAGGGCGCGCAGGCGGGGAUGUAAGUCAGGUGUGAAAACCCGCGGCUCAACUGCGGGAUUGCAUCUGAAACUACAUUUCUUGAGUACUGGAGAGGGAAGCGGAAUUCCCAGUGUAGCGGUGAAAUGCGUAGAUAUUGGGAGGAACACCAGUGGCGAAGGCGGCUUUCUGGACAGUAACUGACGCUGAGGCGCGAAAGCGUGGGGAGCGAACAGG